Molecule: ribosomal RNA, 406 nt
Filed under: uncultured prokaryote
Also listed under: 1 other name
Description: bacterial SSU rRNA
Rfam family: Bacterial small subunit ribosomal RNA
Source: RNAcentral
UGGGGAAUAUUGGGCAAUGGACGCAAGUCUGACCCAGCAACGCCGCGUGAAGGAAGAAGGCUUUCGGGUUGUAAACUUCUUUUAAGUGGGAAGAGUAGAAGACGGUACCACUUGAAUAAGCCACGGCUAACUACGUGCCAGCAGCCGCGGUAAUACGUAGGUGGCAAGCGUUGUCCGGAUUUACUGGGUGUAAAGGGCGUGUAGCCGGGUCGGCAAGUCAGAUGUGAAAUCCACGGGCUUAACUCGUGAACUGCAUUUGAAACUGUUGAUCUUGAGUAUCGGAGAGGUAAUCGGAAUUCCUUGUGUAGCGGUGAAAUGCGUAGAUAUAAGGAAGAACACCAGUGGCGAAGGCGGAUUACUGGACGACAACUGACGGUGAGGCGCGAAAGCGUGGGGAGCAAACAGG